CCCCGGCCCGUUCCCGCCCCGCCGAAUAGUCCGGAUUCUCCAUUACUAGGUCAGUCGCUCCAGAAGCAGAUGCGCCUCCUGCUGACAUAUCCUGAGAAGGUCAAUGGUAGACUGACGCCAGCUCGCAAUGCCUGUAUUAUUCACCUCACUUCAUCACAUCACAUAGGCAUUUUAUCAUCUCACAUCAUCACAAGAAAAAGGGAAGUUGAGGCUUCUUCCCCCAAUGCCUGUUAAUGGUAUCCAGGUAAAUCCCUCUAUAGUCAAAGAGUAUAAUAUAUAUUAUUUCAACCAAUUUUCCUUUAAAAUUUUUGACUUGGGUUAAUUAGAGGUAUGGCAUUUAAUUUCCAAGUAUUUGGGGACUUCCUAUCUUAUUUUAUUGAUCUCUAUUUUCAUUAAAUGUAGUAGAGAAUUUUCUCAUCCUUUGAAUUAACUGAGCCUUGCUUUAAGACCCAGUGUUUAACCUAACUUGGUGAACAUUCCAUAUGCAGUUGAAGGGAAUUUACAGUCUGACGUUGUUGUGUGUUCCAUGUGCAUUCUAUAAAGUAUUCUAUAUAUGCCAAUCAAUUCAAGAUGGUAGACAGUGUUGUUCAGCUUUUCUAGAUCUUUAAUAUUUUUUGUGUAGAUGCUCUAUCAACUGCUGAGAAUGAGUUAUUAAACUUUUUUAAAGACUCACCAUUUAUUUUAGAGAGAGAGCACGUGAGAGCAUGAGCAUGUGGGG
Molecule: long non-coding RNA, 718 nt
Organism: Ailuropoda melanoleuca (giant panda)
Lineage: Eukaryota; Metazoa; Chordata; Mammalia; Carnivora; Ursidae
Exons: 3
Source: RefSeq, a predicted model, not a curated record